CCUACGGGAGGCAGCAGUGGGGAAUUUUGGACAAUGGGCGCAAGCCUGAUCCAGCAAUGCCGCGUGAGUGAAGAAGGCCUUCGGGUUGUAAAGCUCUUUUGUCAGGGAAGAAACGGUGGAGGUUAAUACCUUCUGCUAAUGACGGUACCUGAAGAAUAAGCACCGGCUAACUACGUGCCAGCAGCCGCGGUAAUACGUAGGGUGCAAGCGUUAAUCGGAAUUACUGGGCGUAAAGCGUGCGCAGGCGGUUGUGCAAGACAGAUGUGAAAUCCCCGGGCUCAACCUGGGAAUUGCAUUUGUGACUGUACGGCUAGAGUGUGUCAGAGGGGGGUAGAAUUCCACGUGUAGCAGUGAAAUGCGUAGAGAUGUGGAGGAAUACCGAUGGCGAAGGCAGCCCCCUGGGAUAACACUGACGCUCAUGCACGAAAGCGUGGGGAGCAAACAGGAUUAGAUACCCUGGUAGUCCACGCCCUAAACGAUNUCUACUAGUUGUCGGUUCGUUUAUUGUACGUUAGGUUAACGUACGAGACGUAACGACGUGAAGUAAGACCGCCGUCGGGGUAGGUACGGUUCGACGAAGAAGUUAAACGUUAACGAAGUUAGAGUUAGACGGACGUUGAGACGAGCGACGGACGACGACGAGGGAGGAGG
RNAcentral lists this ribosomal RNA (651 nucleotides) under uncultured bacterium. Its description in RNAcentral is "bacterial SSU rRNA". The stretch from base 1 to 554 matches the Rfam family "Bacterial small subunit ribosomal RNA", at positions 338 to 873 of the family's 1533-position model. The record is from RNAcentral.